GGGCCUUAGCUCAGUUGGUAGAGCGCCUGCUUUGCAAGCAGGAUGUCAGGAGUUCGAAUCUCCUAGGCUCCA
RNAcentral lists this transfer RNA (72 nucleotides) under Microbacterium sp. NIBRBAC000506063. RNAcentral's name for it is "tRNA-Ala". It matches the Rfam family "tRNA". Rfam says of the family: Transfer RNA (tRNA) molecules are approximately 80 nucleotides in length. Their secondary structure includes four short double-helical elements and three loops (D, anti-codon, and T loops). Further hydrogen bonds mediate the characteristic L-shaped molecular structure. tRNAs have two regions of fundamental functional importance: the anti-codon, which is responsible for specific mRNA codon recognition, and the 3' end, to which the tRNAs corresponding amino acid is attached (by aminoacyl-tRNA synthetases). tRNAs cope with the degeneracy of the genetic code in two manners: having more than one tRNA (with a specific anti-codon) for a particular amino acid; and 'wobble' base-pairing, i.e. permitting non-standard base-pairing at the 3rd anti-codon position. Lineage: Bacteria; Bacillati; Actinomycetota; Actinomycetes; Micrococcales; Microbacteriaceae. The record is from RNAcentral.